This is a long non-coding RNA of Hemicordylus capensis (graceful crag lizard), 441 nucleotides long. RefSeq lists it as uncharacterized. The record is from RefSeq and is a predicted model, not a curated record. The transcript is spliced from 3 exons. NCBI's taxonomy places the organism in Eukaryota, Metazoa, Chordata, Lepidosauria, Squamata, Cordylidae.
CUCGCAGCUGAUCGGUGGGUGGGCGGGGCUUCCAGAGAGGCCUCCUCCGAGUAGACCUCCCUGAAGCCUGAACUCAAGUAGGCCCCAGCAAGCCAGGAAGGAGGCUGGCAGAGCUCCCUGCAGCAGACCCGACCAUCCAGCACAGCCCUUGCAGUAUUGCAGAGCAUCCUUCUUGACGUAGUAGGAAUGACCCCUAAGCAAUGGAACGGAAAGAACAGGACCUUUCUUGUGGCUAACCAUAUUCAUCUACAAAACUGGACAUAUGAUGAGUGCAUUGCACUAUGCUGACAUCUACCUCAAGCAAGGAGAAGCUUGUCAGGCAGCUGUUGAACAGUUUCUUCUAUGGGCAGUCAGCAUGCUGUACCAUGCCCCUGCCUUCUUUACCUAGCAAGAGCUAUGUGGAAGAUGAGGGUGUGAGGCAAUUGUCACAAUGUGUGCUUU